GACAAAACCUACUGAUGUGGGUACCCAAGCAGGAACCCCCCUCUUGCACCGGCGACUCACGUGGGAAGAAGAAUUCACUGAGCUGAAAUGGAGUGAGAGCUAAGAUGCUCUCAGAAUAUUCUUAAAAUGACUGUGCUGCAAAGAAGCCUGGGUGAAUAGAAGAAAAUAAAAGGAAUGGUGGAUACAAGUGAAGGUUAAAAUGAGACCCCAUUUAUCGCACCAGCUGUUGGUGAUUUCAGCGCUCCUUUCCAAGCCUCUUGAGAGUUCUGCUCUAACCACACUGCCCCCUAGUGUUCUCUCGCUUUGGUGCAACGUUUCUCAUACUUCUGGAGAAAUAGAAAGCACCAGAUGACAGCCACCACACACUUUUGUCCCCAUUGCAAUAGGAUGCUUCUAACAAUCGUAAAAUUAUGAAACACUGAAUUCCUUAAAAGUUGUCCAUUUGUGGAUUUAUCUGAUGGUAACUAUUAAAUAUU
Molecule: long non-coding RNA, 476 nt
Filed under: Pan troglodytes (chimpanzee)
Lineage: Eukaryota; Metazoa; Chordata; Mammalia; Primates; Hominidae
Description: long non-coding RNA NONPTRT007693
Source: RNAcentral